RNAcentral lists this ribosomal RNA (465 nucleotides) under Vreelandella stevensii. Its description in RNAcentral is "partial 16S ribosomal RNA". It matches the Rfam family "Bacterial small subunit ribosomal RNA", at positions 338 to 795 of the family's 1533-position model. The record is from RNAcentral. Lineage: Bacteria; Pseudomonadati; Pseudomonadota; Gammaproteobacteria; Oceanospirillales; Halomonadaceae.
CCUACGGGUGGCAGCAGUGGGGAAUAUUGGACAAUGGGGGGAACCCUGAUCCAGCCAUGCCGCGUGUGUGAAGAAGGCCCUCGGGUUGUAAAGCACUUCCAGUGAGGAAGAACGCCUGGUGGUUAAUACCCAUCAGGAAAGACAUCACUCACAGAAGAAGCACCGGCUAACUCCGUGCCAGCAGCCGCGGUAAUACGGAGGGUGCGAGCGUUAAUCGGAAUUACUGGGCGUAAAGCGCGCGUAGGUGGCUUGAUAAGCCGGUUGUGAAAGCCCCGGGCUCAACCUGGGAACGGCAUCCGGAACUGUCAAGCUAGAGUGCAGGAGAGGAAGGUAGAAUUCCCGGUGUAGCGGUGAAAUGCGUAGAGAUCGGGAGGAAUACCUGUGGCGAAGGCGGCCUUCUGGACUGACACUGACACUGAGGUGCGAAAGCGUGGGUAGCAAACAGGAUUAGAUACCCUAGUAGUC